GCAAAAUGUGUAAAACUGCUUUAAACUUGUUUUAUAACUGCAACAUUUUCUCUACUUCCUUUUGCAAAUGUGUCGAAUUUCAGUAUGUUAACUUUAAAAAGUGACCGCCCCUAAAAAACAUCUAAUCCCUUGAAAAUGGCCUAUCCGGCGUCGAUAUGAUUCAGAAACUGAAACGAUGUUCGCUGAGAGUCAGGAAACAUUUCAGGGAAUGAAUGUUUUAAUAAAAUAAACAGAACAGAAUAUAAUACAAAACAAGAACUUCGAACAACGCACAGACGUGAAACAGAAACAAUGAUGCCUGGGGAAGGAACCAAAGGGAGUGACAUAUAGGGCAUGUAAUCAAGGAAGUGAUGGAGUCUAGGCGAGUCUGACUAUGCGCAGGUGCUUGUAACGAUGGUGACAGGUGUGCACCAUAACGAGCAGCCUGGUGACCUAGAGGACGGAGAGGGAGCACACUGACAGAAACAGUAAUUCUAGUGGCAAAAUUACUACAAAGUGCAAAUAGGAUCAUUUUGGAUAUAAAAUCAGUCUCAUCUAUUAUGGUUGGUUUUGGAUUACAAUUAUGUCAGCAAAUCAUGCCCCCUUUUGCCAAACUCCACUUGCAAAUCGCCCCUCUGGCCACUUCGCUUCCCAUCAUUGAAUGGGGCUCCCAUGUUUCAUAGCCCCCAACCAAAGUGUUCAACGGAUCACGGCCGUUUGAGACUGAAAAGCCCUUUACGGAUUGACCAUGCAAUGCAUGCUAGCAGCAGGAUGCACUGCCAACAACUCAGCUUUGGCUUGGAAACAUUCCAAAAGAAAGCAAAUUAUUGGUAGGAAAAACAUUUGCCAUGAUUGUGAUGUCGCCAGAUUGACUUUAGAUAUGCAGUAUAACUUUAGCCAGCUAACUAAGAUUGAUGGGACCACAUUAUUUUAGCUAGCCAACUUUAGCAUUUCUAGCUAUUUUUGACUAACUUUGAUAGUAACAGUAAUGGCAACAUUGCCAUCUCUCUAAAGUAAAAUGUACAACAUCAUAAUAUGGCGAAGUUGUUUCCUACUAGUUAUUUGCCUACUUUAGCAAAGUCAUCGUAUUUCCAUGCCACUGUAAAUUAGUGUAGUUUACAUGAAACAGUCACAUUAGCCUCCGAGGUGCAACCCAUGUCUAGGGCACAAAUAAAUAUUGAAUGCAGCUAUGGUGCAGCCUGGUCUCAUAGCCUAGAUGUAACAUAGUAAAUGCAAAUCCGGGACACUCAAAUUAGCAUGAUAUGUUAUGUUUGGUAUGGUCACAUAAGACAGAAGGUUACUUAAGGCAAAAACGAAGGAAGAAUGGUUGGUCGAGGUGGAUGGGUAGACAUAUAAUGUGAACAAAAGGUUGCAUGUUCGAAUCUCAUCACUGACAACUUUAGCAUUUUAGUUAAAUGGAAACUUUGCAAGCGCUUACUACUUUUUUGCUACUUUGCAACUACUUAGCAACUACUUAGCAUGUUAGCUAACCCUAACCUGUAACAUAUCAUACGUAUUGCAAAUUCAUAACAUACUGUACGAAUUGCAAUUCGUAACAUAUAAUAAGAUUUGUAAUUUGAAACAUAUCACAUGAAAGGGAUGAUGGACAUCCACAAAUUAAUACAUACUAUAUCAUAUUAAAUGGAUAUUGUCCCGAGUUACUGCCCUGAUGACACAGAUGACUUCAUCAACAACGACAGGACAUCCCAGUCAUCACCACCUCAUACGAUUGCAUGCUGUAGUUGUUUGAGAGAUGUCCAGUAUGCAGGUGAACAUGCAGCAUAGAGGAGACAAGCAAGGGGGCCCUCAUCAGCAUCAUGCAGACAUGCAGACAGGUUGUCAGCAACCUUCACCUGUCAGCGGCAACAGCUUUCACAGGCUCAUCAUUUGUACAAAUACAGAAGAUCCUGAAAACCAUAAAGAAACAACAGGAGUUGGCUGUAACCCUAGACAUUCUUGCAGAGACCGGAAUCAGUAAAGCUGGAAACUGUUUGCAGGAGAAGCAGUCAGGCUUAUUAGUCAGACACUAUAAGAAAUUGGUUCCAAAAGAGACUUAA
Molecule: non-coding RNA, 2036 nt
Organism: Oncorhynchus mykiss (rainbow trout)
Lineage: Eukaryota; Metazoa; Chordata; Actinopteri; Salmoniformes; Salmonidae
Source: RefSeq, a predicted model, not a curated record